GACGAACGCUGGCGGCGUGCCUAAUACAUGCAAGUAGAACGCUGAAGGAGGAGCUUGCUCUUCUGGAUGAGUUGCGAACAGGUGAGUAACGCGUAGGUAACCUGCCUGGUAGCGGGGGAUAACUAUUGGAAACGAUAGCUAAUACCGCAUAAGAGUAGAUGUUGCAUGACAUUUACUUAAAAGGUGCAAUUGCAUCACUACCAGAUGGACCUGCGUUGUAUUAGCUAGUUGGUGGGGUAACGGCUUACCAAGGCGACGAUACAUAGCCGACCUGAGAGGGUGAUCGGCCACACUGGGACUGAGACACGGCCCAGACUCCUACGGGAGGCAGCAGUAGGGAAUCUUCGGCAAUGGACGGAAGUCUGACCGAGCAACGCCGCGUGAGUGAAGAAGGUUUUCGGAUCGUAAAGCUCUGUUGUAAGAGAAGAACGAGUGUGAGAGUGGAAAGUUCACACUGUGACGGUAGCUUACCAGAAAGGGACGGCUAACUACGUG
This 495-nucleotide ribosomal RNA is filed under the name uncultured bacterium. RNAcentral describes it as "partial 16S ribosomal RNA". It matches the Rfam family "Bacterial small subunit ribosomal RNA", at positions 28 to 507 of the family's 1533-position model. The record is from RNAcentral.